Molecule: ribosomal RNA, 492 nt
Filed under: uncultured bacterium
Lineage: Bacteria
Description: partial 16S ribosomal RNA
Rfam family: Bacterial small subunit ribosomal RNA
Source: RNAcentral
AGUGAACGCUGGCGGUAGGCCUAACACAUGCAAGUCGAACGGCAGCACAGUAAGAGCUUGCUCUUACGGGUGGCGAGUGGCAGACGGGUGAGGAAUACAUCGGAAUCUACUUUUUCGUGGGGGAUAACGUAGGGAAACUUACGCUAAUACCGCAUACGACCUAAGGGUGAAAGCAGGGGAUCUUCGGACCUCGCGCGAUUGAAUGAGCCGAUGUCGGAUUAGCUAGUUGGCGGGGUAAAGGCCCACCAAGGCGACGAUCCGUAGCUGGUCUGAGAGGAUGAUCAGCCACACUGGAACUGAGACACGGUCCAAACUCCUACGGGAGGCAGCAGUGGGGAAUAUUGGACAAUGGGCGCAAGCCUGAUCCAGCCAUACCGCGUGGGUGAAGAAGGCCUUCGGGUUGUAAAGCCCUUUUGUUGGGAAAGAAAAGCAGCAGGUUAAUCCCCCGCUGUUCUGACGGUACCCAAAGAGUAAGCACCGGCUAACUUCGUG